CAGUCGCCCGGGAAUACGGAGGGUGCAAGCGUUAAUCGGAAUUACUGGGCGUAAAGCGCACGCAGGCGGUCUGUCAAGUCAGAUGUGAAAUCCCCGGGCUUAACCUGGGAACUGCAUUUGAAACUGGCAGGCUAGAGUCUUGUAGAGGGGGGUAGAAUUCCAGGUGUAGCGGUGAAAUGCGUAGAGAUCUGGAGGAAUACCGGUGGCGAAGGCGGCCCCCUGGACAAAGACUGACGCUCAGGUGCGAAAGCGUGGGGAGCAAACAGGAUUAGAUACCCGUGUAGUCCCUGUCUCUUAUACA
RNAcentral lists this ribosomal RNA (301 nucleotides) under uncultured bacterium. Its description in RNAcentral is "partial 16S ribosomal RNA". It matches the Rfam family "Bacterial small subunit ribosomal RNA", at positions 509 to 808 of the family's 1533-position model. The record is from RNAcentral.